AGAGUAGGUGAGAGGGAGGUAGAAUUUCAGGUGUAGCGGUGAAAUGCGUAGAGAUCUGAARGAAUACCGAUGGCGAARGCAGCCUCCUGGCAUCAUACUGACACUGAGGUUCGAAAGCGUGGGUAGCAAACAGGAUUAGAUACCCUGGUAGUCCACGCCGUAAACGAUGUCUACUAGUCGUUGGGGAACUUGAUUYCUUAGUGACGCAGCUAACGCAAUAAGUAGACCGCCUGGGGGAGUACGGCCGCAAGGUUAAAACUCAAAUGAAUUGACGGGGGCCCGCACAAGCGGUGGAGCAUGUGGUUUAAUUCGAUGCAACGCGAAGAACCUUACCUGGUCUUGACAUAUCUAGAAUCCUGCAGAGAUGCGGGAGUGCCUUCGGGAAUUAGAAUACAGGUGCUGCAUGGCUGUCGUCAGCUCGUGUCGUGAGAUGUUGGGUUAAGUCCCGCAACGAGCGCAACCCUUUUCCUUAGUUACCAGCGGUUUGGCCGGGGACUCUAAGGAUACUGCCAGUGACAAACUGGAGGAAGGCGGGGACGACGUCAAGUCAUCAUGGCCCUUACGACCAGGGCUACACACGUGCUACAAUGGUAGGUACAGAGGGCAGCUACACAGCGAUGUGAUGCGAAUCUCAAAAAGCCUAUCGUAGUCCAGAUUGGAGUCUGCAACUCGACUCCAUGAAGUAGGAAUCGCUAGUAAUCGCGGAUCAGAAUGCCGCGGUGAAUACGUUCCCGGGCCUUGUACACACCGCCCGUCACACCAUGGGAGUCGAUUGCACCAGAAGUGGGUAGCCUAACUUUUAGAGGGCGCUCACCACGGUGUGGUUGAUGACUGGGGUGAAGUCGUAACAAGGUAA
This 856-nucleotide ribosomal RNA is filed under the name uncultured bacterium. RNAcentral's name for it is "bacterial SSU rRNA". It matches the Rfam family "Bacterial small subunit ribosomal RNA", at positions 643 to 1499 of the family's 1533-position model. The record is from RNAcentral.